AUGAUAUCAUUAUCACUGGUACUUCUUCUGCUGUUUGGCGUUCGGUGCUUUGAUUCAGCAGGUCAAAUAAACGACGACUCACCAUUAUUCAUUAGCACAUCAAUUGAUAAUUCAAUGAAUUUAAAAAUCUUGGUGGAAAAGAAACCAUAUUUUACGGGCUCUGUUACGGGUUACAAGCUCUAUUAUACAAAUGAUUCAAGUCAAACCAAUGAAGAAUAUGAGAAAUGGAUGCAUCAAGAAGCACUUUCAAAUCAGAAUUCAUAUAAUUUUGUAAUUGAUGCAAAUAAACAUGAAAUCGUGUCAGGAGAUGUAUAUCGAGUCAGAGCAACUGUUUUCUUCAAUAAUGUGGAAAGUGUUCCAACUGGAGUUAUUUCAAUCAAUACAAGACAAUCUAUUCCAAAAGCUCCAUUGAUUGUUAACACUAAAAUACUGUACAAUUCAUCUGUACUCAUUUCAUUUGUACCUGCUGAUGAUGUCAACGCUAUCGAGAACUAUACUUUGAUGUAUAAACAAAUGGAAGCGGAAGAAUGGAAAUCAUUGAAUUUCAAAUCUGAUUUUGAUGGAAAGGUUCUUCUCGAUGGCCUUAUUCCAAACCAUACUUAUGAAAUCAAAAUUUUUGUAACGGGUGGAAUAGUACAAGGAACUCCGUCAAAUUUGGCAACGUUCACAACAAAUUCAACUGCAUUGGCUCUCGUAAAAACAGAACCAGAUGAAGAAUAUACUGCUGAUCCUCAAACAAAUGAACCAUUGAGUAUUACAUGUACUGUUAAAUCAGUCAGUAAAGCAUCAGUUUUAUGGAAAGUUAAUGGAAUAAAAGUAUCCGUAGAUUCAAGUUUCUACACAGUUGUCACUUCAGUUCAUGAAGAUUUUAUUGAGUCAACAAUUCGUGCUAAAUCUAGAACUCGAUCUGCAAAAUUCACUUGUUUAGCUACAAAUGAUGCUGGGGACUCAUCAAAAGAAGUUAAUGUAAUCAUAAAAGGACCCGGAAGUCCUCCGUCUGAAAUCACACUAGUCGCAGAAAAAAGAGGUUACACAAUUUCAUGGAAACCUCCAUCACAUCCUAAUGGAAAAAUUACGAAAUAUGUAGUAUAUCACACAUUAAAUCGAGAAGAUCCAUUAUCCGAUUGGCGAAAAAUUGAUUUGGAUGGAUCUGAAAAGAUGGUUCGAAUAAUAAUGGAUACGGAAGAAAGUUUUUAUGGAAGAGUUCAAGCUGCAACUGAACUUGGUCCUGGAAUUAUUUCUGAUAUUGUGGCAAUGGAAAGAGAUACUCAACCAAUUUCCGUCGAGUCUGACCUUUUUGGAGUGUCUGCAACCACAAUGGUGGUGAAUCCACGAGAAACACUCUCGAUUCAAUGUACUGCACGUGGCAAGCCUCGUCCAUCAAUAUCAGUUGCAAUAAGUGAUCGAAAAAAUGCGAGUCAGGUGGAAGUUGAUGUUUGGAGUCGUUUACAAGCCACGUCAUCGGCUGGAAUUGUAUCUGCAGUACACAACUUUUCAGUGCUUACAUCAAAAUUCGUGCACUGUAGGGCAAAAAAUUCAGCAGGCAGCAAUUAUUCUACAAUGGAAUUGAAAGUUGAUAAACCAGGAGAUGCUCCAACUCAAAUUCAAGUGCUCAGUGUCAAUGCACUAGACGCUCUCGUAGUGUGGCACUCACCACAAUUUCCAAAUUCUCCGAUAACAAGUUACAUAGUUCUUGUGAGCAAUGAUGAUAAAGAAGACAAAAGUACAUGGCUUCAAUAUGAAUCGAACGCUAAGGAAACACAAAUCAAUAGAAUGCUUCUUCCAACUGGAAAUCUGGAAAAAUCAACAGAAUAUUUUGUAUGUGUUCGUGCAAAAAAUGCAGCAGGAAUUGGUCCAACAAGCAGUUUGAUAUCAUUUAUAACGUUGAAUGGAGGACCUGAUAGUCCUCCGGAUAACUUAAAAGUAUUGAUAAAUGAGGCAAAUCAAGUGAUUGUUUAUUGGAAUACACCUAAUUCUACGACUGAAGUUACUGGAUAUCUGAUCUACUACACCCGAGAUCUGAGUCUUUCAAAUGAUGAUUACAAAAAUUGGCAAUUUGUUGAAAUGAACAACAACUCAACUCGAUACAAAUUCGACUUAUCUGUCGGAUUGAAACCAAAAACGUUCUAUCGAGUUCGAAUAUCUGGAAAGAAUUCUCACGCCGAUGGACCAGCUAGUGAAGUUGUAGAGUUUGAGACUGCGUAUUCGGAAGUUCCGAUUCCAACCGAUUUAAAGACCGAAGUACUUGAUGAUAACACGAUUCAUAUAAAAUUCAAUGCAGUCAGAGAUCCUGAUGAUCAUUCUAAAGCUCUUGGUGAAUACCGGAUAGACUUGGCAGCAACUGAUGAUGUUCUUCACGCACUAUGGAAACAAAUUGAACCGAAGUCUAUUAAAAUUGAUGAGAUCAGUUCGAUGAUGUGGAAAUUGAUGGUGAUUCAGUUGAAAAAAAUCAAAUGUAUUGGGUUAAAGUGACUGCAAGAUUGGACAAUCCAUCAUGGGGAAUGCAUUCUUCGAAACCUAGAUGGUUUAGAACUGGUCAUGGAAAACUCAUGACGUCGGUUACACUGGAAGGUGCACCAUUAAUUGAAAAAGAGCCAAAUCUGUUUGAAGAACUGUCAGUAACAUGUACAGGAAUGGGAAGUCCAGCACCAAUUAUAACAUGGGAAUGGAUGAAUAAAUCAAUUGAAAAUGGAACUGAAGGAUGGAAUAUUUUAAAUAUUCAAAUUGAUGAUACAACUGUUGUCUCAAAAAUUACCAGAAACAAUAUUCGCGAGUCGGGAGAUUUAACCUGUUUGGCAAAUAAUAACGAAGGAAGUUCUUCUGCGUCUGUCGAAAUUCGAGUUUUGGGACCCGGAAAUCCACCAGAAAAUAUAAUUUUGACGGCAUACCGUAACCAAAUAAAUGUGACGUGGCAAGAGUCGACACUUCCGAAUGGAGAUAUAAUGAAGUAUAUUGUAUAUUACUCUGAAAAUGAAAAUGAUGAUUUAUCCGAUUGGAAUAAAUUUGAAACAGCAGAAUUGGAAACUUAUGUGGAAACAUUUGGACCACAUACUAAGCAUUUUAUUCGUGUUCAAGCUGUGUCUGAUCGAGGGCCCGGAAUCAUUUCAAAUGUACUUUCAUGCAUUUCUGAUGUGCUUUAUGAGACAAUACACUUGGAAAUAGUUGCAUCGAAUAUUCUUGAUUUCGAGGCAGAACCAAAUCAAAAUGUUGAGAUUCGAUGCAAAGGAACAGGAAAACCACAACCUGAAUUAUUCUAUCAGUUUGCGAAUGAAACAGAACAAAACUUUGUUGAAGUUGAAACAAAUGACAUGGAUUUGUUCGAAGCAAAAGCUCCAGAGAUUAAUUCAAGAAGGAAUGUUACAGUGACAUGCAGGGCAAGCAAUAAGUAUGAAAAUGUCACGAUAAGCAAAGUUAUUAUAAUCAAAAGACCCGGAGAAGCUCCAACAAAUAUCAGUUGGAGUUUUGAAGAAGAAUAUGACUCAACUUUAUAUAUAAAUUGGAAUCCAAUCGAGAAUGCAAAUGGAGAAAAACUAGAAUACAAUUUAUACCUGUCGAAUUACAAAACAAAAGUUUCAGGACCGCCUGUUAAAAUUCCUGAUAUUCCUCUCGAUGUCAACAUUUCACUUCGAGUAUCGGCAGAAAAUGAAUAUGGAGAAGGAGAAAAGACAUUUCCAAUAUGGAUUCCAACUCCAAAUGGAGGCCCAAAAACUGCUCCAAUUCUUUCUUCACUUCAUGCACAAGAUUCAAAAGUUUAUAUUUUCUGGGUAGAACCAAGACUUCCAAACGGAGAGAUUCAAAAUUAUACAAUUUAUAUCCAAAAAGAAAAUGAAUCAGAAAAUGAAGAACAUAGUAUUGAUAAGGAAUGGAAGAAAUUCAUUUAUGGCUCGAAUAUAACUCAUGUCAUAAUUGGUGUUGAUGAUGGUUUAGAAGAAAAUGAAAGAUAUCAAAUGAAAAUGACAGCAACAAAUCAAAGACAUGAAGGUCCUGAGACGAAGGUAUACACUUUCGAUUUGAUAUCCUUUGACGAGAAUGACGUCAUCGAUAAUUUCACAGCAAUUGUUAUCAAUUCAACGGUGUUCGUCGAAGUGGGAAAUCCCAUUUAUACAAAGUACAAUAUUUAUAUUCGAGAAGAUGGAAAUAAUCAGACUGUCAAACAUGAAAUUGAUGUGGAAAGUGGAAAGACAACAUUUGAAUUUCCAUUUCAGUUAGAUCAUACGUUGAGUUAUACAAUCAAAAUGUCUGGAAUGAAGCUUGGACGUGAAAGUCCUCCAUCCGAAGAGAUUGAUCUUGAAUUUAUAAGUUCACCGUCUCCAACUCCAAUAAUUUCCGGUUCCCGUCGAAAAGUGAUCAAGGAGCCGCCACUAUAA
Molecule: unclassified non-coding RNA, 4367 nt
Filed under: Caenorhabditis elegans
Lineage: Eukaryota; Metazoa; Nematoda; Chromadorea; Rhabditida; Rhabditidae
Description: Non-coding transcript of protein-coding gene C27B7.7b
Source: RNAcentral